UAGCCUGGCCAAACCUCCUUGUCCAAGUCUGAUCUCGUCACAUCUCUGAAGCUAAACGGGGCUGGGCCUGGUUAGUACUUGGAUGGGAGGCUGCUGGGAAUUCCAGGUGCCACAGUGG
RNAcentral lists this ribosomal RNA (118 nucleotides) under Periophthalmus magnuspinnatus. Lineage: Eukaryota; Metazoa; Chordata; Actinopteri; Gobiiformes; Gobiidae. The record is from RNAcentral.